AGGACGAACGCUGGCGGCGUGCUUAACACAUGCAAGUCGAGCGGUAAGGCCUUUCGGGGUACACGGAGCGGCGAACGGGUGAGUAACACGUGGGUGAUCUGCCCUGCACUCUGGGAUAAGCCUGGGAAACUGGGUCUAAUACCGGAUAUGACCUGCUCUCGCAUGGGGGUGGGUGGAAAGA
RNAcentral lists this ribosomal RNA (181 nucleotides) under uncultured soil bacterium. RNAcentral's name for it is "partial 16S ribosomal RNA". It matches the Rfam family "Bacterial small subunit ribosomal RNA", at positions 26 to 208 of the family's 1533-position model. The record is from RNAcentral.